Long non-coding RNA from Triticum dicoccoides, 2429 nucleotides. RefSeq lists it as uncharacterized. The transcript is spliced from 5 exons. NCBI's taxonomy places the organism in Eukaryota, Viridiplantae, Streptophyta, Magnoliopsida, Poales, Poaceae. The record is from RefSeq and is a predicted model, not a curated record.
CGCGUUUUCAUUGGCCAGCUGCCCCAGGUUUCUCCACACGCAACCUCCUCCUCUGCUCCUUUCUCUUGCUCGGCGCUGCCGGAUCUGCUGCACCGAGGGGGCACGGCGCCGCUGAGAUGCGGGGCGAUGCGCUGCCGCCUACCGCGCCCUUGGCCUUCUCUCAUCCCCUGCCCCUCCCUCCUCUACGGCGACGGCGAGCUCUUCGAGUCGGGGGCCUCGCCGCUCGUCUUCCUGCCCUGCUCCUGAUCCAGGGCGGCGGCAUGAACCUCUCCCGCGUCGACGAGAAUCUCCUCAGCUCCGUCUGCUGCGCGCGCUCCCUCGCCCUCCUCCCCCCGACCCCAGCCCCUUCCCGUGUCGAGGUUCCAGCUCGAGCUGUUGUUGCGGCGACGGCUGGAUUUGAUGUCACUGAAGUUCUAAAAAUUACAUGAUGGCUUGCUUAAUUUUCUUCAUUAAGAGCAGAGAAGGAGAGGGAAGAGAAAGACAAAGAUAUUUAGCUUUCCUUCCAGUUAUCAUUGCAUUACUUUUCUUUAGGGUUUUCGAUCAUUGGUUCUAAGAAAUUAACGCCAAGAAAGGGUGCCUUCUGAUGUCUAUAAAUCUAAGCUUUAUCUGUUCUUGGGAUCCGAUGGAAGCUUGUGAUUUAGGAUUAAUUAGAUUAUCUGAUCACAAAAGUGGCUCCUUUCUUGGUUUGUUCUUGUCCCUGUAAGCUGAGCUUCUGUCCAUCCGUCCGUAAUAGAAGAAGCUUAUUUCCUUCCUAGGCUUGUAGUAUCAUCUCAUGCUCCCUUGUGCUGUGAAUUCGUAAUGCAAUGUAUACAAAUUGGAGGCAGCCUCCCUGCUUACAGUACUACUUACUACAGUUUUUUCAUUAAUUAAUUGGCUUAACUUGUACUUGCGCCUGCGCUUUUCUGCUAGAAUAAUGGGCCUUUUGCACUAAAUCCAUCAUUAACAAUGCCAUUUUUCUAAUGCUUGCAUGCAUCCCUACGAGCAGAUUAACGUGCGCCUAAACAAUAAAAAAAAGCCGAGAUACACAUCCUUCUUGCAAGCAGGAAGACAUGAAGACGGUGACUUGAUCCGCCCAGUCCAGGGGAGGAAAGCAACAGGGAAACCCCGCCUUCUGCCACCAGUAUGAGAUAACGGCCAUGGGACACACGAUGCAUCCUGGUGCGCUUAACCCACAGCCAUCAUUUGACAGGAUUUGACAUGGAUGAUGUAGUAAGAAUGUACAUCCGAUACACACUGAAUGGAAAACAAUUCAAUCCUGAUGUGGUUCUGGAUCUCAUACGUCUUAGGAAAGCAUCAAUGUUUGAAGAUAAUGAAGUUGCUGAAAUUCUGAAUCAGAUAUCAAGACGAAUUGUUCGGGAAAAAGUGGAUGAGCUCGAGGAGGUGUUCUACGAGGAGGUCGGUGCUGCAUUUUCCGACACAUGGGUCCUGCCGUCUUGUGUCAGUUGGGUUUGAUGCUUUUGAUUUUGAAUUAUGUGAAGGAACUCGACCCCAUAAAGUACAUUCUGGCAAAUAUUUUGGAAGAAGCUGGUGAUGCCUGCCACCUAUUUCGAUAAGCAGGUUUAAUGAUCUACUAUCCUAAAUUCCUUGCUAAAAACAUCAUCUGAGAGGAAUAUUUAGCUUGGAUUUCCUCUUGUCAUGGUAUCAACAACACAUCCUUGCCUUUAGCACAGAUAUUUAACUGGUUAAUAUAUAUGCUUUGCUUACUUCAUCAGCCUAUGUUUGAACAUUUUGUAUAAUAUUUUUAACUGGUCAACAUACUUGUAGAUCUACAAUUAUUAUGUUAGGUGUUAGACCCAAUGAAUAAGACCGAUACCCAGUAAUUUGUUAAUAUCACCAAGUCAGAACCCAUACAGGAGGUGGACUGCAUACUGCAAGUGCCUCACAUUGUUGUAUGUACCUAAUCCAAAGCAAUCCUUUGAUAUCCUCCUAUUUUCCUCUCUAAGAUAUGCAAUAUCCUACUAAUUUUGUUGGUUUGUUAAGUUAUCUUCUUGUACAUAGGUCACAGCUGAUCUAGAGACGAUCUCCACAAAGAAAAUAUUGGGCGAGUUGACCUUCCACGGGCAUGCAUAUCAGAAUCAAAUCAAAAGCCGGAAGCUUCAAUCUUGCCUUAUUCACAUAGCUUUUCAAGAUCAAAUGAGGAUUUGCCUGAUGUGGCCCAUAGCUAGAUAUUUGCACGUGAUAGGUGCACGAGGUACCAUGCAAGCAAGCAGGGUGGCCCUGAUCAUGCUGUAGGGGCUGGGUAUAUUUCUAUCUUUAUAAGACCUUUUAAGUCUGACUUAAGACAGCAAGAAGUAUGCCUCUACUUUUGGACGCUGCCAUGUGCUAUCCAUUACUUUUGAACCACCAUCAUCGUUCAUGUAACCUCCAGAAUACAUUCUCUAAGUGUGUUGUUUUUGCAUGGCUCCAUCUUAAAGUUUCAGUUAAAAACU